UUAAAGAGUUCUAUAACUCCCAAACCCAUGUGAACAUACCUAACGUUGCCUCGGCAGGUCGCACCUACCUUGUAGCACCCUACCCUGUAGGGCCUACCCGGGAGGUGCGGGUAAGCCUGCCGGCGGCCCACCAAACUCUGUUUGAUAUUGAAUUCUGAACCUAUAACUAAAUAAGUUAAAACUUUCAACAACGGAUCUCUUGGUUCUGGCAUCGAUGAAGAACGCAGCGAAAUGCGAUAAGUAAUGUGAAUUGCAGAAUUCAGUGAAUCAUCGAAUCUUUGAACGCAUAUUGCGCCCAUUAGUAUUCUAGUGGGCAGGACCGUUCGAGCGUCAUUUCAACCCUUAAGCCUUCGUUGCUUAGUGUUGGGAGCCUACGGCAACGUAGCUCCUCAAAGUUAGUGGCGGAGUUGGUUCACACUCUAGACGUAGUAAUUUUUUAUCUCGCCUAUUAGUUGGACUAAUCCCCUGCCGUAAAACCCCCAAUUUAUCAAGGUUGACCUCGAAUCGGUUCAGACAAACUCGCUAAAUUGAAGCAUCUUAGUCAGCGAAGGAAAAGAAACCAACAGGGAUUGCCCUAGUAACGGCGAGUGAAGCGGCAACAGCUCAAAUUUGAAAUCUGGCCCUCGGGUCCGAGUUGUAAUUUGUAGAGGAUGCUUUUG
RNAcentral lists this ribosomal RNA (659 nucleotides) under fungal endophyte. Its description in RNAcentral is "eukaryotic LSU rRNA". The stretch from base 180 to 333 matches the Rfam family "5.8S ribosomal RNA". Lineage: Eukaryota; Fungi. The record is from RNAcentral.